GUAGGUGAACCUGCGGAAGGAUCAUUACAGAGAACUUGCCCUUCGGGGUAGAUCUCCCACCCUUUGUUUACAUUACCUCUGUUGCUUUGGCGGGCCCGUCUUACGACCACCGGCUUCGGCUGGUCAGUGCCCGCCAGAGGACCCCAAACUCUUUUGUUAAUGUCGUCCGAGUACUAUAUAAUAGUUGAAACUUUCAACAACGGAUCUCUUGGUUCUG
Molecule: unclassified non-coding RNA, 217 nt
Filed under: rhizosphere metagenome
Description: partial ribosomal RNA internal transcribed spacer region
Source: RNAcentral